GUGUAGUGACAAGCUGCAGUCUACUGGGACAACGCAAGGAAGUAAUUGAAGUCUUUGCUUUUAUGGUCUCUUCCUGUAAAUGGAAAUGAAAGGGGAAAGAGAGGAGCUAAACCUUCUUCAACCUCUCAAGCUUCUGUGUUUUCUUCUACUAACUCUUCUGUCUCUCUCUAACUUCGCCUCUUCUGAAAUUUUCUUCGAGGAGCGAUUCGAAGAUGGAUGGAAGAGCCGUUGGGUGUUAUCAGAUUGGAAAAGGAGCGAGGGAAAAGCGGGUACCUUUAAGCACACAUCUGGGAAAUGGUCUGCAGAUCCUGAUGAUAAAGGUAUUCAGACUUAUAAUGAUGCUAAGCACUAUGCUAUAUCUGCAAAGAUACCAGAGUUCAGCAACAAGAAUAGGAUUCUGGUGGUCCAGUAUUCUAUUAAGAUUGAACAAGACAUUGAAUGUGGUGGUGGUUAUAUUAAGCUCCUUUCUGGUUAUGUUAACCAAAAGAAAUUUGGUGGUGAUACUCCUUACAGUUUGAUGUUUGGACCAGAUAUAUGUGGUUCACAGACAAAGAAGCUCCAUGUUAUACUUUCCUAUCAGGGACAAAAUUAUCCAAUCAAGAAAGAUCUACAAUGUGAAACUGACAAAUUAGUUCAUUUUUACACGUUCAUUCUUCGGCCGGAUGCGUCUUAUACUGUCCUAGUUGAUAAUAGAGAAAUGGACUUUGGAAGCAUGUAUUCAGAUUGGGAUAUACUUCCUCCACGUAAAAUCAAGGAUUUGAAAGCGAAAAAGCCAGCAGACUGGGAUGACAGAGAAUACAUUGAGGAUCCGAAUGAUGUAAAACCUAAGGGGUAUGAUUUGAUUCCGGCAGAAAUUCCUGAUCCAAAGGCUAAAGAGCCUGAUAAUUGGGAUGAGGAAGAAGAUGGUGUAUGGAAGCCACCUAAAAUACCAAAUCCAGCAUAUAAAGGACCGUGGAAGCGAAAGAAAAUCAAGAACCCCAACUACAAGGGUAAGUGGAGGACUCCAUGGAUCGACAACCCAGAGUUUGAAGAUGAUCCUGAUAUAUAUGUGUUGAAGCCAAUAAAAUAUGUGGGCAUUGAGGUUUGGCAGGUAAAGGCUGGUUCUGUAUAUGAUAACAUUUUGGUUUGUGAUGAUCCACAAUAUGCCAGAGAAGUUGUAGAAGAUUAUCUUGCUAACCAUAGGGAGGCUGAAAAAGAGGCUCUUGAGGAAGCUGAAAAAGAGAAAAAAGCACGGGAAGAAGAGUUUCUGAAGUAAAAGGGAAUUCUGAUUCGUAGGAAGCCAAAAGAGCGAGAGAGGAGAGUGAAAGGAGGAGAAGAGAGAGGGACAGCCGUUAUGGGGACAGGGCUCGCCGUAGAAGGCGUGAUCCUCGGGAUUACCUGGAUGAUUACCACGAUGAACUAUGAGAUGGUUGCUGUUUACCAAGAUUUUGACCAAACCAAAAGAAAAGAGGAUAAUAUCGCAUUCUGUUGUGCUGCGAAAUGCCAGCCUCAUGGUCUGCUCUCGUGUAACUUUUUUUUUUUGCUGCAGCAUUAUCUGUAACACUAACUGAUUAUCUUUCCUGGAAAAAUAAUCCAUUUCAAGCUUGAACAAUGGAAUAAUUUUUUCUGUUUCGUUCUC
Molecule: non-coding RNA, 1618 nt
Organism: Carica papaya (papaya)
Lineage: Eukaryota; Viridiplantae; Streptophyta; Magnoliopsida; Brassicales; Caricaceae
Source: RefSeq, a predicted model, not a curated record